AAAUUUAAGAGAAAAAGUGCUUGAAACAUUAGGCUUUUAUGGCUUUUAUAGCCGUAUAGUAUUAUAUAGUAAGAAUAGGGAGCUAAAACACAAGAAGAAAAAACAAAACUAAUUUUUUUUUUCAGAGGCCCAAAAACUAAGCAAAAAUAUGCUGUUAUGUGCAAUAGUUAAUUUAAAUGAAUGAGAUUAUUAUAACACUAUAAUAGACUAUACUAUAUAUAAAUAUAAUUUGUCACUCACUAUGUAAUAUUAUGAUUAAAGCUCUGUAGUUUUCAUUGUAGUAGGCAAAACACACAAUGCAAUGCUGACUGAGAUACACAGAUAAAUCUUCCAAAAAAAAAAAAAAAAUCCUGCUGUAUCAUAUUUUAUAACUACUGUACAUACUUUUUGUUUCUUACAAAAUAUAAUGGAUAAUCAAGUUGUAUCAAAUAUUAUAGGCUACAGUAGGUGUUACAGGGUUAAGAGUCAGAGAAUAAACUUGUUCUUUUCCUGAGUAAGGCGCACUACAUGCUGAACUCAUAGGACUGACCAACAUUUAUUAGACUCUUAAAUCAGCCAUAAAAUAAAAGUCAUCAGAUAAAAUAUGAAGUCAUUCAUCUGGAUUUAUGUCGGCGUGUGAGCGCGGUGUUAUGGAGUGGGUCGCGCGAGACGCGCCAAAUGCUCCUUUACUGUGGCACGUGCCAGGUGCCUCUCCGGGCGCGAGCCUGGUCCGUUGACUGGAGGAAGGCACGUCAUCCAUCUCUCCUGCUCUGACGAGAUUCCCAUAGACCUCGGCCUCGCUCAUUACUGCGACGCUGGAGUGACCCAUAACGACGAAAAACAGCCAUACGGUGUCUCUCUUGGAAGUUUGUACCUGGUUGUGUUGCCGUUCAGGAGCAUGCUUCUUAAAUAAAACUGCAGUAAGCAAAACUGAUGGGUGGAUAAUUUUUGAAGCGAAUGGGGGAAUUGAAACAACAUGAUAGCUGCAUUCGCACCCCUUCAGGCAGGUUCCCCAGGGAGCGCGCUGUGUUACAGUCUUCCCCCAUCCACUCCACAGUUCUGAGAUGCACAGAGACGAUAACACACUCUGUGCUGGUAUGUGGUGAAGUGUGCAGCUGCAGCAGUUAGGAGGAAUGCAUCAUGGAGUUGCUGGUAGGACUGGAGGAAGCUACUGGGAUAAGGAAUGAUAACAGACAAGCAGGAUCUGGAGGCAGCACUCAAUCCUGAGUCCAGAGGGUGGAGGAGACGCUGUGAUGUGUCCGUGGUUGUGGUGGGCUCACGCUGAGCGGGGAGAUUGAAGAGGGAGACUCCAGAGCACACUCUCCACGAGCAAGGGAGGAAAGAGGAAAGAGAGAUCUAUGAUGUGAUGAGAUGAAGGAGAAGGAGGGAUAGAUGAUGUGGUGCAACGUGUGGGGAUGCUCUCGUAAACUGGAUGAUCACAGCCACCCUGGCCCCCCCUUGUCUGCAGCAUCACUCCAAAACAUCCCUAACAGAUCAAUCCAUUACUUACUGAAACACACCGUGACC
Cyprinus carpio (common carp) is the source of this 1506-nucleotide long non-coding RNA. NCBI's taxonomy places the organism in Eukaryota, Metazoa, Chordata, Actinopteri, Cypriniformes, Cyprinidae. The record is from Ensembl.